GCCUUCAGCGACUGCGGAGGACAUUACCGAGUGUAGGGUUCCUAGCGAGCCCAACCUCCCACCCGUGUUUACUGUACCUUAGUUGCUUCGGCGGGCCCGCCAUUCAUGGCCGCCGGGGGCUCUCAGCCCCGGGCCCGCGCCCGCCGGAGACACCACGAACUCUGUCUGAUCUAGUGAAGUCUGAGUUGAUUGUAUCGCAAUCAGUUAAAACUUUCAACAAUGGAUCUCUUGGUUCCGGCAUCGAUGAAGAACGCAGCGAAAUGCGAUAACUAGUGUGAAUUGCAGAAUUCCGUGAAUCAUCGAGUCUUUGAACGCACAUUGCGCCCCCUGGUAUUCCGGGGGGCAUGCCUGUCCGAGCGUCAUUGCUGCCCAUCAAGCACGGCUUGUGUGUUGGGUCGUCGUCCCCUCUCCGGGGGGGACGGGCCCCAAAGGCAGCGGCGGCACCGCGUCCGAUCCUCGAGCGUAUGGGGCUUUGUCACCCGCUCUGUAGGCCCGGCCGGCGCUUGCCGAACGCAAAUCAAUCUUUUCCAGGUUGACCUCGGAUCAGGUAGGGAUACCCGCUGAACUUAAGCAUAUCAAAAGCCGCGGAGGAAA
Molecule: ribosomal RNA, 594 nt
Filed under: Aspergillus oryzae
Lineage: Eukaryota; Fungi; Ascomycota; Eurotiomycetes; Eurotiales; Aspergillaceae
Description: eukaryotic LSU rRNA
Rfam family: 5.8S ribosomal RNA (bases 209-362)
Source: RNAcentral